This 1160-nucleotide ribosomal RNA is filed under the name uncultured bacterium. RNAcentral describes it as "bacterial SSU rRNA". It matches the Rfam family "Bacterial small subunit ribosomal RNA", at positions 37 to 1188 of the family's 1533-position model. The record is from RNAcentral.
UAGCUACAGGCUUAACACAUGCAAGUCGAGGGGAAACGAUAUUGGAAGCUUGCUUCCGAUAGGCGUCGACCGGCGCACGGGUGAGUAACGCGUAUCCAACCUGCCCAUCACUUGGGGAUAACCUUGCGAAAGUAAGACUAAUACCCAAUGACGUCUCUAGAAGACAUCUGAAAGAGAUUAAAGAUUCAUCGGUGAUGGAUGGGGAUGCGUCUGAUUAGCUUGUUGGCGGGGUAACGGCCCACCAAGGCAACGAUCAGUAGGGGUUCUGAGAGGAAGGUCCCCCACAUUGGAACUGAGACACGGUCCAAACUCCUACGGGAGGCAGCAGUGAGGAAUAUUGGUCAAUGGACGAGAGUCUGAACCAGCCAAGUAGCGUGCAGGAAGACGGCCCUAUGGGUUGUAAACUGCUUUUAUAAGGGAAUAAAGUUAGUCUCGUGAGACUUUUUGCAUGUACCUUAUGAAUAAGGACCGGCUAAUUCCGUGCCAGCAGCCGCGGUAAUACGGAAGGUCCGGGCGUUAUCUGGAUUUAUUGGGUUUAAAGGGAGCGUAGGCCCGGAGAUUAAGCGUGUUGUGAAAUGUAGACGCUCAACGUCUGCACUGCAGCGCGAACUGGUUUCCUUGAGUACGCACAAAGUGGGCGGAAUUCGUGGUGUAGCGGUGAAAUGCUUAGAUAUCACGAAGAACUCCGAUUGCGAAGGCAGCUCACUGGAGCGCAACUGACGCUGAAGCUCGAAAGUGCGGGUAUCGAACAGGAUUAGAUACCCUGGUAGUCCGCACGGUAAACGAUGGAUGCCCGCUGUUGGUCUGAAUAGGUCAGCGGCCAAGCGAAAGCAUUAAGCAUCCCACCUGGGGAGUACGCCGGCAACGGUGAAACUCAAAGGAAUUGACGGGGGCCCGCACAAGCGGAGGAACAUGUGGUUUAAUUCGAUGAUACGCGAGGAACCUUACCCGGGCUUGAAUUGCAGAGGAAGGAUUGGAGACAAUGACGCCCUUCGGGGCCUCUGUGAAGGUGCUGCAUGGUUGUCGUCAGCUCGUGCCGUGAGGUGUCGGCUUAAGUGCCAUAACGAGCGCAACCCCUCUCCUUAGUUGCCAUCAGGUCAAGCUGGGCACUCUGGGGACACUGCCACCGUAAGGUGUGAGGAAGGUGGGGAUGACGUCAA